This 230-nucleotide long non-coding RNA is filed under the name Capsicum annuum. Its description in RNAcentral is "long non-coding RNA (CANN_LNC022255)". Lineage: Eukaryota; Viridiplantae; Streptophyta; Magnoliopsida; Solanales; Solanaceae. The record is from RNAcentral.
GGCAUUAAGAUGACCAAAAAUACGAUUUUAAUUAGUCCAAGAGUAAUUAACCCGAAAAUGGCCUAUUCUCGUUGUUUCACCUGUUUGACCACCCAAAUAGCCUAUCCCACCUAAGGGCCCACACUAUCCAUAGUAUGCCUGGGGCAUCCCGGUCAAUUUUCAGCCAAAAACGUGCCCGGCCCCCAAGCCCACCCCGGAUACCAUGGACUAUAGCACACUGAUUUGGCCAG